Molecule: ribosomal RNA, 494 nt
Filed under: uncultured bacterium
Lineage: Bacteria
Description: partial 16S ribosomal RNA
Rfam family: Bacterial small subunit ribosomal RNA
Source: RNAcentral
GACGAACGCUGGCGGCGUGCUUAACACAUGCAAGUCGAACGGUGAAGCGCCUUCCUUUUUGGUGGGUGUGGAUGAGUGGCGAACGGGUGAGUAACACGUGAGUAACCUGCCCCCUUCUUCUGGAUAACCGCAUGAAAGUGUGGCUAAUACGGGAUAUUCUGGGUCUGUCGCAUGAUGGGUCUGGGAAAGAUAUUGUUUCGGUGGGGGAUGGGCUCGCGGCCUAUCAGCUUGUUGGUGGGGUGAUGGCCUACCAAGGCGGUGACGGGUAGCCGGCCUGAGAGGGUGGACGGUCACAAGGGGACUGAGACACGGCGAAGACUCCGACGGGAGGCAGCAGUGGGGAAUAUUGCACAAUGGGCGCAAGCCUGAUGCAGCGACGCCGCGUGAGGGAUGGAGGCCGUCGGGUUGUGAACCUCUUUAGCCAGUGAAGCAGGCCUGCCUCGUUUGUGGGUGGGUUGAUGGUAGCUGGAUAAGAAGCGCUGGCUAACUACGUG